UAAGCCGGAGGAAGGUGGGGAUGACGUCGAAGUCCUCAUGGCCCUUACAGGCUGGGCUACACACGUGCUACAAUGGCAUCUACAGUGGGCAGCUAUUCCGCAAGGAUGCGCUAAUCUCCAAAGAAUGUCUCAGUUCGGAUUGUCCUCUGCAACUCGAGGCAUGAAGGCGGAAUCGCUAGUAAUCGCGGAUCAGCAUGCCGCGGUGAAUACGUUCCCAGGCCUU
This 223-nucleotide ribosomal RNA is filed under the name uncultured Porphyrobacter sp. RNAcentral's name for it is "partial 16S ribosomal RNA". It matches the Rfam family "Bacterial small subunit ribosomal RNA", at positions 1159 to 1382 of the family's 1533-position model. Lineage: Bacteria; Pseudomonadati; Pseudomonadota; Alphaproteobacteria; Sphingomonadales; Erythrobacteraceae. The record is from RNAcentral.